RNAcentral lists this long non-coding RNA (2290 nucleotides) under Homo sapiens (human). RNAcentral's name for it is "HSALNT0069828". Lineage: Eukaryota; Metazoa; Chordata; Mammalia; Primates; Hominidae. The record is from RNAcentral.
CCCAGGCUGAAAGGCAGUGAUGCAAUCCUAGCUCACUGUAAUAUUGAACUCCUGAACUCAACCAAUCGUCCUGCCUCAUCCUCUCCAGUAACUAGGACCACAGAGUAUUGCCCUGUCGCCCAGGCUGGAAUGCAAUGGCACGAUCUCAGCUCACUGCAACCUCUGCCUCCCAGGUUCAAACAAUUGUCCUGCCUCAAUCUCCCGAGUAACUGGAUUACAGGUGUCCGCCACCACGCUCAGCUAAUUUUUGUGUUUUUAGUAGAGACAGCAUUUCACCAUGUUGGCCAGGCUGGUCUCGAACUCCUGACCUCGUGAUCCACCCGCCUCAGCCUCCCAAAGUGCUGGGAUUACAGGUGUGAGCCACCGCGCCUGGCCCUAAAACUUCUUACUGAAAUUAGUCUAGUAUUGACAGUAACUAGAUACAUAGAGACUGAGUUGUAGUCUGUAUGUCAGAGUUAUGUGUAUUCCAAUCAGCUCUCUCUAUAAUUGGUACUUCAUAAUGCAAAUGCUAAACUGAGUCUGGAGUUUUCAGAGUUGUAUAGUCUCUGACAAAAUGCCCCUCAUUUGUUUUUAUUAUUGUGUUCAUGGACUAUAUAUUAUGUACUAAUGCCCAAUAUGUUCCUGAUUUUAAGUGAAGCCAUUUAUCUUAUUUAUUUUCAAUCCAUUUAUAACAUAUUGUUAAUUUAAAAAUAUCUUCAGGACAACUGGUUGAGUUAGGAGGAAAUGUGCCUGGGACUCCAGGGGAUGUUUCUAGAUAGAGAAGUAGAAUUUUGGCCUGAGCACAUUUUUGUGGCUUAGAUUGAUACUGUCUUCUUCAGUGUUUAUUUCCUGAAUUAAUCCUGAUUGCUCAAAACACAGUUAAUUUUCCUGUUGUUUUUUGUCUGCCUCUCCGGUCUAGACUGGAAAUAUGUCUUCUCUAAACAUUUGGUAAAUAGCCCAACCUGAAACUCCUUUACCAAAUCUAUAUACAGCAUUUCCCCAGGAAAAAUACUAAAUUUGACCACUAUACCCAAAAGGAAAAUCUUAGCAACCUUUCCAAAUUUAAACAUUAUGAUUUUUCCAACAAGGAUCUUUGGAAGCAAAGAUGUAUGGAGUUUGCAUAUUUUGGUUUACAGAAACUCAAACUGAAAUUUGAUUCACCUUACUUUUCAUUAAGUACAAGGAAGAGAAUAAUCCAGGCUUUUCCUAGAAUUAAAUAUAAUCUCUUUCCAACUGUAUUCUGUGAAUUUAAAAGCACUUCAAGUGAUUAAAAAUAACUUUGUAUCUAUAACUCAGUCACAGUGCAUAUGAUCACAGCACAGCUGACUUUUAUCACAUGUGAUAUCUUACAAAUAAAUGGCCUUGUCUGUGAGAGAGAGGAAUUUUAGAUUUAUAAAAUUGAAGAUUAAAACUAAGCAAAUUCCAGGUUCUAUUUUAAAGUCUGUGCUUUAGCAAAAUACUUUCCAAGUAAUGUUGAUUAGAGAGCAAUGCAUAUUCAACUAGUUUAAGAUUUUUUUAUUUGCAUUGAUGGUUUUGCUCAUUUAAAAACACAGUUUAGUACUUUAGUCCAGGUUAUAAUCUAUAUUAUUAGAGCUAUAGAUUACUUGAAAAUUAAAUAUUACUUUUAUCACUCAUUAUUAUUGUUAAACUUGAAAACUUUACACAGUAUAAGAAUUGGUUCAUUAGAGAGAGGGAUGGAUUACUUUGUGGUCUCUCAUGCAAAUUAUGUGUGUUUGCAUCUUUCUAAAUGUACCGGGGAGGCUAUUUUAAUAAUGUUUGGAAAUGAAGAUUUUGGAAAAAGGGAAAGGAGCUAAUAACUAUUCAGUCUUGUGUUAAAUUAACAUUAGAAAAAGCUCCUGGAAUUUGAGUGGAUUUAUGAACUAUAAAAAUAUUCAAUUUUUGAGAUGGAUUGACCUAUACCUCACAAUUUUAAGAGUUUGAUUUUGAACACCUUAGUAAAAUUAAACUUCUCCUGAUCACAGCAUUUUGUAUUACUAAAAGAUGUACAAAUACAGUAAUGUUUAGAAUUGUUGCUCUAUAUAUUAAAUAGCAUUUGAAAAAUAUUUUUCAAAUGGACAUAUUUUACUUGACUUUUAAUUAAAUUUUGUAUGUGGUAGUAGUCAUGACUAUAAAUAGUUUGCCUGCAUGACAGUUGUUGGCAUACUUCUAUGAAUAGCCCAGAAUCCCCAUACAAAAUAGAUACAGUCACCAAGAUAAGCAUAACGGAAAGACUACAGGCAUCAUCUUCAAUACAAUUAUAUAAUAAACUAUGCUGAUGUAAGUGGGGUCAAACAAAAAACAGUAAUAAAAG